RNAcentral lists this unclassified non-coding RNA (250 nucleotides) under Hevea brasiliensis (rubber tree). The record is from RNAcentral. Lineage: Eukaryota; Viridiplantae; Streptophyta; Magnoliopsida; Malpighiales; Euphorbiaceae.
GGAAUUCCCAUGUUACUAAAAAUCCCGCGAAUAUGUGAUCCCUGGGGUGGCUACAGCAUCAUUGGGUUUGGCGACAUAAUUUUACCAGGAUUACUAGUAGCAUUUUCAUUAAGAUAUGACUGGCUGUGCAAGAAGAGCCUUCGAGCCGGUUAUUUUCUAUGGACUAUGACUGCUUAUGGUUUAGGUUUGUUUGCAACAUAUGUGGCUCUGAACUUGAUGGACGGCCAUGGUCAACCUGCUUUGCUAUAUA